GAGUUUGAUCGUGGCUCAGAGUGAACGCUGGCGGUAGGCCUAACACAUGCAAGUCGAGCGGCAGCACAGAGGAGCUUGCUCCUUGGGUGGCGAGUGGCGGACGGGUGAGGAAUACAUCGGAAUCUACUCUGUCGUGGGGGAUAACGUAGGGAAACUUACGCUAAUACCGCAUACGACCUACGGGUGAAAGCAGGGGAUCUUCGGACCUUGCGCGAUUGAAUGAGCCGAUGUCGGAUUAGCUAGUUGGCGGGGUAAAGGCCCACCAAGGCGACGAUCCGUAGCUGGUCUGAGAGGAUGAUCAGCCACACUGGAACUGAGACACGGUCCAGACUCCUACGGGAGGCAGCAGUGGGGAAUAUUGGACAAUGGGCGCAAGCCUGAUCCAGCCAUACCGCGUGGGUGAAGAAGGCCUCGGUUGUAAGACC
This 425-nucleotide ribosomal RNA is filed under the name uncultured microorganism. RNAcentral describes it as "bacterial SSU rRNA". It matches the Rfam family "Bacterial small subunit ribosomal RNA", at positions 9 to 432 of the family's 1533-position model. The record is from RNAcentral.